GAUUUUCUCAGUACAAAAACAAAUAACAUUAUUAACACGCCUUAAAGAUGUAAAGUGUCUUGAGGAAGCGGUAGUCAGAAUAAAGCCCAGCUGCUGCCCGUGUCGUGCUGCUCUGUCAGAUUCACAAGCUCAGUCUCUCCAGCCUCGCCUCCGUCACCCCAUCCCACUGGCAAUGGCCUUUCUGCGCUGCAAACAUGCCAAUACCAGAAAUUGCACCAACCAGAAUGCCGGAGGACCUGCAACCAGAUGGAAUGACAAUAACAUGAGAAACAACUGGCUCUGAGUGGAGGUUGCAUUUGGCUGAUUGGAGCUGCCCAAGUCAGAGAUGAAGCCUCCUUCCACAGUCUACAGAGGCAGCUGUCCAGCCAUGGACUACACUUGCCAGCCUUUCUUGCAACUCGAUAGGGCCAUGUGAAUAUUUCUCCCUGAGAACAAUUGAGAUGUAUUCUCUCAAGACCAAGAUUAAGAAUCUUUCUCCAUUUGUUUUUUCCCUAUGCUCCUCCUGCGUGUAAAGGGUGAAAACCCUGGGAAGAGGAGGCCACAGAUAAAAGGAGGCUGAGUUCCUGAGUCACCAUGUGGAAGCUGCCGCCAGUCAGGAUUGUUAAAUGACUGGGGUCACAGUCGCAACAGCUGCAUUACUCUAAUAUCCUCUCUCUGUGAAUUCUAAUGGGAUUCCUGACAUACUGGGAAGUGGGGCUGGAUGCUUCUGAAAGCUCCUUCUGAUACACAUUCUCUGGCACAUUUCUUCUGAAAUUUAUAAACUAUUGUACUUGAAAGUUAUGUUGUCAAAUAGGAUCAUUUAAUUAUCCUGUAGUAAAUAUUGCAGAGCUUAAAACCACUGCGUCAGAAGAACUGGUCUCUAGCUCUGGCUCUUCUACAAGCCUGUUAUAGAGUCUGGAAAAUAUAACUUUACUUCUCUGAGCCUCAGUUUCAUCAACUGUAAAAUACAAAUAAAAUGCAGUGUGAACGAGGAGAGACAAUAUGACCUCUAAAUUCCUUUCAAAUAAAAUCUCUUCGAGAAAUGUACAGCAACAGCUCUUUACAGGCAGAGAGAAGUGGGAGCACAGAACUUUAGUGCAUUAAUGAAUAUUGCACUAAACUUAACCUAUAAUAAACUCUUUAAUCACAGAGUAUCUUUUAUUAUUGGACUUAAAAAAUUGGAGAUGAGUCAUUAGGCUCUUCGCUUUUGACUCUAGAUAUAGUCAAAUUGUCUUGACCAACUCAGAUACUCCAUUCAGUUGAGGCAG
Molecule: long non-coding RNA, 1247 nt
Organism: Bos taurus (domestic cattle)
Lineage: Eukaryota; Metazoa; Chordata; Mammalia; Artiodactyla; Bovidae
Source: Ensembl